AUUGAACGCUGGCGGCAGGCCUAACACAUGCAAGUCGAACGGUAACAGGAAGAAGCUUGCUUCUUUGCUAACGAGUGGCGGACGGGUGAGUAAUGUCUGGGAAACUGCCUGAUGGAGGGGGAUAACUACUGGAAACGGUAGCUAAUACCGCAUAACGUCGCAAGACCAAAGAGGGGGACCUUCGGGCCUCUUGCCAUCGGAUGUGCCCAGAUGGGAUUAGCUAGUAGGUGGGGUAACGGCUCACCUAGGCGACGAUCCCUAGCUGGUCUGAGAGGAUGACCAGCCACACUGGAACUGAGACACGGUCCAGACUCCUACGGGAGGCAGCAGUGGGGAAUAUUGCACAAUGGGCGCAAGCCUGAUGCAGCCAUGCCGCGUGUGUGAAGAAGGCCUUCGGGUUGUAAAGUACUUUCAGCGGGGAGGAAGGGAGUAAAGUUAAUACCUUUGCUCAUUGACGUUACCCGCAGAAGAAGCACCGGCUAACUCCGUG
RNAcentral lists this ribosomal RNA (490 nucleotides) under uncultured bacterium. RNAcentral's name for it is "partial 16S ribosomal RNA". It matches the Rfam family "Bacterial small subunit ribosomal RNA", at positions 30 to 507 of the family's 1533-position model. The record is from RNAcentral.